UUGUAUUGCAUACUUUAUUGUUGAUUGAUGUGGAUGAACGUUGGAUGAUCCAAAGCCCUCGAUCUAUGAUAUGACGAUGUGAUAUGUACAGUACGGAAUGUAAGACCAGUGGGACCCAUUCUACGUUCGCUGGCACCAUGUAAGGGAAAGACCAGGACCCAUUCUACGUUCUGGCACAGUUGGACUGUUAUGUUAUGCUAUGUUAUGUAAGGGAAAGACCAGGACCCAUUCUACGUUCUGGCACAGUUGGACUUGUAGAGGGCUAUUGGUGACAAGUUCAUCCUUGAUGUGAUUAGCUGUGAUGUGAUGCAUUCCAUGAUCCAUAUGAUUUAAAUGUUUUUAUUA
This 345-nucleotide long non-coding RNA is filed under the name Manihot esculenta (cassava). RNAcentral describes it as "long non-coding RNA (MESC_LNC012693)". Lineage: Eukaryota; Viridiplantae; Streptophyta; Magnoliopsida; Malpighiales; Euphorbiaceae. The record is from RNAcentral.